UAACAUGAGAGUUUGAUCCUGGCUCAGGAUGAACGCUGGCGGCGUGCUUAACACAUGCAAGUCGAACGAAGCAC
RNAcentral lists this ribosomal RNA (74 nucleotides) under Agathobacter rectalis. Its description in RNAcentral is "partial 16S ribosomal RNA". It matches the Rfam family "Bacterial small subunit ribosomal RNA", at positions 1 to 74 of the family's 1533-position model. Lineage: Bacteria; Bacillati; Bacillota; Clostridia; Lachnospirales; Lachnospiraceae. The record is from RNAcentral.